RNAcentral lists this ribosomal RNA (774 nucleotides) under uncultured Neocallimastigales. RNAcentral describes it as "partial large subunit ribosomal RNA". It matches the Rfam family "Eukaryotic large subunit ribosomal RNA", at positions 20 to 644 of the family's 3401-position model. Lineage: Eukaryota; Fungi; Neocallimastigomycota; Neocallimastigomycetes; Neocallimastigales. The record is from RNAcentral.
UACUAGAGUAGCACUCGCAUAUCAAUAAGCGGAGGAAAAGAAACUAACAAGGAUUCCCCUAGUAACGGCGAGUGAAGCGGGAAGAGCUCAAAUUUGAAAUCUUAAAGGGUUUCCCUUUACGAAUUGUAGUUUAAAGAAGUGUUUUCUGUUGAGGUUUUGGUAAAAGUUCUUUGGAAUAGGACAUCAUAGAGGGUGAGAAUCCCGUAUUUGACCUUUACUUUCAACUUUGUGAUACACUUUCAAAGAGUCGGAUUGUUUGGGAAUGCAGUCCAAAAUGGGUGGUAAAUUUCAUCUAAAGCUAAAUAUUGGCGAGAGACCGAUAGCGAACAAGUACCGUGAGGGAAAGAUGAAAAGAACUUUGAAAAGAGAGUUAAACAGUACGUGAAAUUGUCAAAAGGGAAGCGUUUGACACCAGUGUUGUUUUUCUGAAAAUCAAUUAAAGAACUGUUUAUGCUAAGCUGUUUAGACUUUAUCAGCUAUCUGUUUAGUUUUGAGCUUUUCUUUAAUGCACUUUUCAGUUAACAAGUCAACAUCAAUUUCUUUUGCUGUAAAAAAGCUUGAGGAAGGUGGCUUGAGAUUCGUCUUAAGUGUUUAUAGCCUCUUGCCUAUGCAGUCGGAGAGAUUGAGGUCUGCAGCGUAGAUCCUUCGGGGCUAAAUGCAUUUGUGCUAAGUUAUAGCAUUUUAUAGACAACUUGUUGACUAUGAUUUGUCUUGUAGCUUACUCGCUUAUGUUAUUUUACCUACGCUUAGGAUGUUGAACUACUGAGACAUAGA